This 279-nucleotide ribosomal RNA is filed under the name uncultured bacterium. RNAcentral's name for it is "partial 16S ribosomal RNA". It matches the Rfam family "Bacterial small subunit ribosomal RNA", at positions 506 to 784 of the family's 1533-position model. The record is from RNAcentral.
UGCCAGCCGCCGCGGUAAUACGAAGGGUGCUAGCGUUGUUCGGAAUUACUGGGCGUAAAGAGCAUGUAGGCGGAUGAAUUAGUCAGAGGUGAAAGCCCCGAGCUCAACUUGGGAACUGCCAUUGAUACUGCUUGUCUUGAGUAUAGUUGAGGUGGGCGGAAUGUGUCAUGUAGAGGUGAAAUUCAUAGAUAUGACACAGAACACCGAUUGCGAAGGCAGCUCGCUAAACUAUUACUGACGCUCAGGCACGAAAGCGUGGGGAGCAAACAGGAUUAGAUA